UCUUAUAUAACUAUAAGUCGCAAUCUCAACUCCUUCGAAGUCUACUAUUCUACUGUCUAGUGUCUACACUACGACUACGGUCGUCACGAAAGUACGACACCACUUAAAGUUGCAAUGUAGUUAGUUUCUAGAAUUUAAUGAUCUUUAAAUAACAAAUAAAUAACUAUAAUUAAUAAUAUGUAAAACAAUCUUAAUUUAGUUUAAAUAUUGAAGUUAAUAAUAAUAUUUUAGAUUUUGAAUUUAUUUGUAUUCAGGAGAGAUUUUAUUCGUCACUGGUAAUUUGAAGUUAUUUCUAUCAAGAUUAAUUUUCAGUUAAAUUUAAUGGCGUUAACAUUUGGUGAUAAUAUACAUACUAAAACUUUCACUCCUCAAGAAUACCUAGUUGAAGUUCUAAGUUCAGCUAAAAACAAAAAUGUAAUUAUUUCAUUAGGAGGUAUAACAAAUAAAGUAUUUGUUAUUUUGAAUCUUAUUCGAGAACUUGCCUUUAAAAUUCACAGGAAAUUUGAAAAAAAAAAAUGGACUUUACUAAUUUUAGAAGAAACAGAAAUUGAUCAAUACAUGUUUUCUAUCCGGCAUUUGACCAAUUUAAAACCAUUAUUGAUUAAAUCAUUCAAUCAUUUGAAUUUUAAUAACUAUGAAGUAAUUGUUAUUACUGAAAACCAAUGCUUAGAAAUGCUUGAAAAAAAUUAUAUAGAUUUUGAUCAGCUGAACUUAGUUAUAUUCAAUAACUGCCAGAAAAUAACUGUGAAAAAUAGUACUUAUUUUAAGAUUUGUAACUUUAUCAAGGCUAAUAGCAAAUGUAGAAUUUUAGGGAUUGUUCAUCCAUUAUUUGAAUUUGAUUCUGAUCCAUUCUUCAUUGAAGAUCAAAUGAAAUUUAUAUCGAAUAAAUUGUUUUCAUCUAUCGAGACUGCCAGCGAUAUUGUUUCUAUUUUACGCCACUGUUGUAAACCUAAAGAAGUUCUCAUUGAAUGUGCUGUUCAAACGGAAGAUGUUAUCAAUACUACAAUAAAAUCUAUGGUACAAAGCUUAACUGAAUUUUUAAAUGACCAUAACUUUGAGCCUGCUAUCAUAUAUGAAGAUGAUGAAGAAUAUGGUGAAGAAUUAAAACAAAUAACUCACCCUAAAAAUGAACCCUUACAAAUGAUAGCUGAUUUUUUGGAUGUUUUAAAAACAAUGGGUCCAUAUUGUGCAGAUAAAGCUGCUUUGACACUUCUAUACAUGGUAGAAAAAUUAAAAGUUAAAACAAAAUAUGAAAGACAUUAUAUUUUGCUGUGUAUUGUUUCUACAUUAUUGAUUCAAAUAAGAGCAACGUUUGAUGAUAUUUUCUAUAAUUAUAGUAAUAUUGAUAAAAUUCUUAAAUUUAGUUCCCCUCGUGUGCUACGAAUUAUUAAUAUUCUCAAACAAUAUAAACCAAAAUCUUUUAGAGCAGAUAAUAACAAUGUUGAAGUGUGUAAUGAUCAAAAAGAAAAAAAAGAUAGGACCUUAAAAUCUAAAUCAGUAAGACGUAAUUGGAAAUUAGCUAGAAGAUAUGGAACUCAUAGAAAACAAGGACGAUCAAGAGAUCAAUACGAAGAGACUGUUUGUGCUAUAGUUCUUGUAAACAACAAAAUGACAGCUUCUAUUUUGUACUAUUUGUUUUUAGAUUUGAAAAAUAGUAAUAAAGAAGAUUUUGGUUGGAUCCAACCUCAAUACACAGUAGAUAAAGAAGCAGACCCAAUUACUGAACCUAAAGAAUUUGAAAUUGAACAUAAAAAGCAAGAAGAAACUUUAAGAAGGUUUCGACAAAGAGAAUGUAAUGUACUUAUUGGAACUAAAGUAUUAGAAGCAGGAAUUGAUUUACCUCGAUGUAAUUUAGUAAUUAAUUAUAAUAUACCACUUUCAUAUAAAUCCUAUUUAAGAUCUAAAAGUAGGGCAAAAACAUUAGAUGCUCAUUAUAUUUUAAUGUUUGAUGAAAAUGCUACUUCAAGUAUUUUAUCUUGUUUAAAACUUUAUAAAGACAUUAACAAGAUGUUAUUAAGUCAUUGUGCUUUAAAAGAUAUUAACAUGGAAAAUGAAAUCUAUGCUGAUAGAUAUAAUUGGUGUGUUACACCAUUCAAACCAGGAAAAAAGGAAGAUUCAGCAUUUGUGGAUAUGGCAUCAGCCAUUGGUCUUGUAAACAGGUACUGUGCAAAACUACCUAGUGAUACUUUUACCAAAUUAUCUCCAAUUUGGAAGAUACAAUCAGUAAUAUAUGAGAAUCAACCAAUGUUUGUCUGUAGUAUUCGACUUCCAAUCAAUUCACCAAUUAAACAUGAUAUACAUGGUCAUCCAAUGCCAUGUGAAAUUUUAGCAAAAAGAAUAGCUGCAUUAGAAGUGUGUAGACAAUUACAUUCUCACGGUGAACUAGAUGAUACCCUUCAACCUAUUACAAAAGAAUCAUUUCAUGCUUUGUUCAAUGCUGAUGAAGUACUGCCUGAUGCUGAAGAUUCCUUAAUACCUUGGGACACUGAAGAGCCUAGACCGGGAACAAAUAAACGUCGCCAAUACUACUAUAAAAGAAUUGCUGAGGCACUGAAUGAUUGUAGACCAGUUGAAGGCAAGCCUUGUCAUUUGUAUGCUAUAUUAUUAAAUAUGAAUUGUCCUGUGCCAGAAGAACAAAAUACUAGAGGUCGAAGAAUUCAUCCACCUGAAGAAUCUGUUCAUGGUUUUGGUAUACUUACAACAAAACAUAUUCCAAGUAUUCCACCAUUUCCUAUAUAUACUCGAUGUGGUGAAGUAUAUGUCAGUCUAAAGCCAAUUAAAACAAAUAUGUUGCUAACGCAACAUCAAUUGAAUGAUAUAGCCACAUUUUUAAAUUAUACAUUCACCAAUGUACUACGUUUGCAGAAAUGUCAUGUGGCAUUUGAUCCAACUACUACUCACAAUUGUUAUUAUAUUGUGCCAACUUUAAGAGAUACAAGUGGAUCAAUAGAUAUUGAUUGGAAUUUCUUAGAUAAUAUGCAUAAAUGUAAAGAUACUAAACUAAGUAUUAUAACUAAUGAAGAUAGAAUAAAUUUUCAACCUGAUAUUGAAGUAUUAAAAGAUGCUGUUGUUACACCUUGGUACAGAAACCAAGAACAACCUCAGUAUUUCUAUGUAGCAGAGAUUUGUACACAUCUAAAUCCAAAAUCACCAUUCCCUGGUUCUAUAGAAAACUAUAAAACAUUUGAAGAUUACUACAAUCUUAAAUAUAAUUUAAAAAUCCAAAAUCUUGAACAACCUCUUUUAGAUGUGGACCAUACUUCAGCAAGAUUAAAUUUUCUAACACCAAGGUACAUGAAUCGUAAAGGUGUAAUUUUACCUACAAGUAGUGAUGCGACUAAAAGAGCUAAACGAGAUAAUUUAAGUCAAAAACAAAUUCUUGUUCCUGAACUUUGUAAUGUACAUUUAUUUCCAGCAUCAAUGUGGCGUAAAGCUGUUUCUUUACCAUGUAUAUUGUACCGUAUUAAUGCUCUAUUGUUAGCUGAUGAGAUUCGUACUAUUGUUGCCAAGGAUAUAUCUUUAGGAUCGCUUAACUUAAGUUUUGAUCACAUCUGGGAGCCUUUAGAUUUUGGCUGGACCAUGAAAGAUGUAUUAAUAAAAAGAAAAGAACAAAAAGAAAAUAGUGUAGUAAAAAUUGUGGAACCGGUUGAAAUUGUUAAACAUUUUGUAGUUGAAGAAAUAAAUGAAGAAAAAGUAGAUAAAUCAAAUGACCCUAAUUGGAUGGAUAUAGGAACAUGGUCUAAUGACAUGGCUGAUUUUGCAAUGAAUAAUAUUGAUAAUACAACAAAUGUAAGGUAUUCGUCUCCAACUAGUUGGAUGGUUCAAAGUGAUAAUGAAUCAAGCACAUUUAGUGAUACUGAUUCAGAUGAUGAAAUUCAAGUUGAUGGAUUACAUUCGAAUGGUUUGCGCAUAGAAUUUAAAAAUACUUAUUUAGCUGAAGCUGUCGAUGAAAAUGAUUCCAAAACAAAUAAAUUAUUUUUUUUCAAAAACAAUGAAACAAAUGAAAAUUCAUGGAUUUGGAAUGAGAAUUGUCACUUUGUACCUAACUAUAAUUCUAAUGAAAUAGAUAAACAAAUUACAAAUUUAUUGUAUAAAAAAGAUGAUGAAAUAAUUAUUAAUCGAGAAGUAAAAAGUUGUACUAAUAUUGAUAGCUCAUCUUUAUUAAAAUUACCAUGGGAAUUAAAUUCAGACACUGGUUAUGGACUUCCAGACAUUAAUAUUUUAUCAAAUAACACUUCAUUUGUGCCUAAAGAUAAAAAAUGUAUUAAAAAUGGAGUACACUUAAACAAUAAAGCAAUUGACAAUAUCAAUAGAGUUCAUGAUACACAAAAUGAAACAUUUAGUUUUGACUUUCAGCCAGACUUAAACAAUCAUCCAGGACCAAGUCCUAGUGUUUUACUACAAGCAUUAACUAUGUCAAAUGCAAAUGAUGGAAUUAAUUUAGAACGUUUGGAAACAAUAGGAGAUUCAUUUUUAAAAUAUGCUAUCACAGCUUACUUAUACUGUACUCAUGAUAAUGUUCAUGAAGGAAAACUGAGCCAUCUUAGAUCGAAACAAGUCAGUAAUUUGAAUUUGUAUCGUCUAGGUAAAUUAAAAAUGUUUGGCGAACGUAUGAUAUCUACAAAAUUUGAACCUCAUGAUAAUUGGCUACCACCCUGUUACUUUGUGCCUCAUAAAUUAGAAAAAGCUCUUAUUAAUGCUAGUAUACCAACUUCAUUGUGGAAUAUGAUAACACUUCCCACAUUUAAGGAUCCUACAGAUAAAGAAAUUGAAGAAGUUAUCCAACAGUUCAAAGUGGGCUUCUCAAAUGAGGACUUAGAAAAUACUCCUUUGUUCGUGCCUUACAACCUUGUUACUCAACAUAGUAUUCCCGAUAAAAGUAUUGCUGACUGCGUAGAAGCUUUAAUUGGUGCUUAUUUGAUAUCUUGUGGAGCUCGUGGAGCAUUAUUAUUUAUGUCUUGGCUAGGAAUAAGAGUAUUACCUUCGCUAGACGAUUCAAAAUUAGGUUACCUCAAACCACCAUCUUCUCCAUUAUUACCAUUUAGGAUACCGUUUUCAAGAUCGUAGUUAUCUAUUACAAGCAAUGACUCAUGCUUCUUAUCAUCCCAAUCGUUUAACUGAUUGUUACCAACGAUUAGAGUUUCUGGGUGAUGCAGUUUUAGAUUAUUUAAUUACGCGACAUUUAUAUGAAGAUAAAAGACAACAUUCACCUGGAGCUUUGACAGAUCUUCGUUCAGCACUAGUCAAUAAUACAAUUUUUGCAUCCUUAGCUGUUAGAAAUGGUUUUCACAAGUAUUUUAAA
Molecule: unclassified non-coding RNA, 5302 nt
Filed under: Rhopalosiphum maidis (corn leaf aphid)
Lineage: Eukaryota; Metazoa; Arthropoda; Insecta; Hemiptera; Aphididae
Description: endoribonuclease Dcr-1, transcript variant X7
Source: RNAcentral